This 300-nucleotide signal recognition particle RNA is filed under the name Callithrix jacchus (white-tufted-ear marmoset). Its description in RNAcentral is "Metazoan signal recognition particle RNA (ENSCJAG00000046259.3)". It matches the Rfam family "Metazoan signal recognition particle RNA". Rfam says of the family: The signal recognition particle (SRP) is a universally conserved ribonucleoprotein. It is involved in the co-translational targeting of proteins to membranes. The record is from Rfam by way of RNAcentral. Lineage: Eukaryota; Metazoa; Chordata; Mammalia; Primates; Cebidae.
GCCAGGCGAGGUGGCACAUGCCUGUAGUCCCAGCUACUCGGGAGGCUGAGGUGGAAGGUCGCUUAAGCCCAGGAGUUCUGGGCAGUAGUGAGCUAUGCCCAUCGGGUGUCUACACUAAGUUCGGCAGCAAUAUGGUGAUCCUACCAGGAGCUGGGGACCACCAGGUUGCCUAAGGAGGGGUGAACCAGCCCAGGUUGGAAAUGGAGCAGGUCAAAACUCCCGUGCUGAUCAGUAGUGGGAUCGUGCCUAUGAAUAGCCACUGCACUCCAGCCUGGGCAACGUAGGGAGAUGGCGUCUCAA